RNAcentral lists this transfer RNA (541 nucleotides) under uncultured cyanobacterium. Its description in RNAcentral is "partial 16S-23S ribosomal RNA intergenic spacer". The stretch from base 212 to 284 matches the Rfam family "tRNA". The record is from RNAcentral. Lineage: Bacteria; Bacillati; Cyanobacteriota.
CAGGGAGACGACAAAAUGUUUAAUAUUAUUAUUUUGUCACCUUAAAAAAAUCGGUAUCUCACGUUUUUAAUUUAUUAAGAAUUUCAUUUCCUAAGUUUUUCUAGGUCACACCCAUUAUUUUUCCUGGGCCAUUAGCUCAGGUGGUUAGAGCGCACCCCUGAUAAAGGUGAGGUCCCUGGUUCAAGUCCAGGAUGGCCCAUAUCUCUAUGUUGGGGGUAUAGCUCAGUUGGUAGAGCGCCUGCUUUGCAAGCAGGAUGUCAGCGGUUCGAGUCCGCUUACCUCCACUGAUUACCACCUCUUCCAUAACAGGUAGAAAGGAAAUGUUUUGUGUUGUGAUCAAAUUCUCAAAGAAUCUAGCUUCCUAAUGAAAUCAUUAAGAUGCUGGACUCAUUGAAUUAAUUUCAGUGUUUUCAGAGAACCUUGACAACUGCAUAGAUUAUUUUUAAAGACAAAAAGCAUCUUUAAUGAUGCAGAUUUAUUAUUUGUGCGAAUGCAUUAAUAACAAUUCUAUUAAGCUGAUGCUUCAAUUUUUGAAGUUAUU